AUGUAGUUAAAAAAAGAUUUACCAUUUAACAAGUAACAACCGGCGAAUGCCCCAGAAAUCCAGAAUUAUACUCCGACAAUGGCUCCUUCUCGCCGAUCUUGGAAUUUUAUGGCGAUCUACGGUUAUGAUGUGCUUCUUGGAUCGAUUGCUGCGUUUUACGUGUUUAUGGUUCCAUUCACCAAAGUCGAAGAAAGCUUCAAUGUUCAGGCCAUGCACGAUAUCUUAUAUCAUGGGCAUCACAUUGAAAAUUAUGACCAUUUGGAGUUUCCCGGGGUUGUUCCUCGCACAUUUAUUGGUGCGUUGCUAGUUUCUAUUUUAGCAUCUCCAAUGGUUUUAGCUAUCAAUUUGUUGCACUUGCCAAAGAUUUAUAGCCUUUUAGCAGUUCGUUUGGCUCUAGGAUUUUUCAUUUUGGCUACACUUCGAUUUUUACGUGUUCAGAUUAGAGAUAAGUUCGGUCCCCAAGUUGAAGCUUUCUUUGUGACACUGGUAGCUAUUCAGUUCCAUAUGCUGUUUUAUAGCACACGCCCUCUUCCUAAUAUACUAGCAUUGGGAAUAGUAAAUCUAUCAUACGGCUUCUGGUUGAAGGGGAGCUUUUAUGCUACACUAAGAUGUCUGAUUUUUGCUACCAUUGUCUUUAGAUGUGAUAUGCUGUUGCUUCUUUGUCCUCUCGGUUUGGAGCUUUUGCUGACAAAAUCAAUUUCCUUGUGGGAAGCCAUAAAACACUGUGCUGUAGCUGUGUUAUUCAGCAUAGGUCUUACUGUCUUAGUUGAUUCAGUAAUGUGGCAGAAGCUAUUGUGGCCCGAAUUUAAUGUUUUUUGGUUUAACUCUGUCUUGAAUCGGAGUUCAGAGUGGGGUACACAGCCAUUUUACUGGUACUUCACUUCUGCUUUGCCUCGCUCGUUGCUGGUUGCAUAUCCUCUCUUUAUGUUUGGAGUUAUACUUGAUAGAAGAAUCUUAUUCUACGUGGUUCCAGUUUUGUCAUUUGUUGUACUCUACUCCAAGCUUCCACACAAGGAGCUGCGCUUCAUUAUUAGUUCGGUUCCGAUAUUUAAUUUGUCAGCAGCAGUUGCCGCUAGUCGUAUUUAUAACAACAGAAAGAAGAGCUUCUGGAAUCUUCUGUACAUAGCUCUCUUGAGUUUGUUUGUGAUCAGUCUAGGGUUGACUGCUAUCACUUUCAUGGCUUCAUAUGAGAACUACCCUAGUGGCUAUGCUCUAAGAACUUUGCACAGAGUAGGCCACACCAAGAACACUACCAGUGAAAUACUGGUUCAUAUUGAUACCUUCUCAGCUAUGAAUGGAAUUUCGCGGUUUUGUGAGAAUGACAACCCAUGGAGGUAUUCUAAAGAAGAAGGCAUACCUUUGGAAGAUUUUUGGCAGCGAAACUUUACUUAUCUUUUGAAUGAACACUUGAGCAUCAAGGGAUUCAAGUGCUUGUUUCAGGUGGACGGUUUCUCCAGGAUCCGUCUUAAUGUUGGCUUCCCGCCAAUUUCAAUGGUCAAAGAACCCAAAGUCUAUAUACAUGGAAAUCUUAAGAACACAGAUAUCAUGCGUAGAAGUUGGCCAGGUUGCUCAUGAAUCUCUCCAACUUGGUAGAUUUUUGUGACUGAUUAAUUGAACCCCCGAACUUUUCGCAGUAUGUUAUAAUUUUUAGGUUCGGUGACUUCCGACCCCCCGGUGGAAAUUUUCAAGCUUCGCCACUGAAUCCGGGUGUGGUCAUAUCGACAGCUUUUGGUGGAAAAACAAAGUUUUGUUGUGCUAUGUUAACACCCUUUUGUUAGUAACAUUUGGGUUUGAAUCCUAUUUUGUGACUGGGAACAAAAGUUUUGACCCGGGUUUCAGUGAAGGUAUUACUUGGGAGUUCACGGUUUGGUUCAGCUGGUCUUGAUGAAUAUUCUUGGCAUGGCCUCUAACUACAAUUCUGGAAACAACAAACUAACCAAGUGGUUUGACAGUUCAGUUUUGGUA
RNA transcript from Helianthus annuus (common sunflower), 1965 nucleotides. It is a transcript of the gene named dol-P-Man:Man(7)GlcNAc(2)-PP-Dol alpha-1,6-mannosyltransferase, with no coding region annotated. The record is from RefSeq and is a predicted model, not a curated record. Lineage: Eukaryota; Viridiplantae; Streptophyta; Magnoliopsida; Asterales; Asteraceae. The transcript has 21 exons.